AUUGAACGCUGGCGGCAUGCUUUACACAUGCAAGUCGGACGGCAGCACAGAGAAGCUUGCUUCUUGGGUGGCGAGUGGCGAACGGGUGAGUAAUAUAUCGGAACGUACCGAGUAAUGGGGGAUAACUAAUCGAAAGAUUAGCUAAUACCGCAUAUUCUCUGAGGAGGAAAGCAGGGGACCUUCGGGCCUUGCGUUAUUCGAGCGGCCGAUAUCUGAUUAGCUAGUUGGUGGGGUAAAGGCCUACCAAGGCGACGAUCAGUAGCGGGUCUGAGAGGAUGAUCCGCCACACUGGGACUGAGACACGGCCCAGACUCCUACGGGAGGCAGCAGUGGGGAAUUUUGGACAAUGGGCGCAAGCCUGAUCCAGCCAUGCCGCGUGUCUGAAGAAGGCCUUCGGGUUGUAAAGGACUUUUGUCAGGGAAGAAAAGGCUGUUGCUAAUACCGACAGCUGAUGACGGUACCUGAAGAAUAAGCACCGGCUAACUACGUGCCAGCAGCCGCGGUAAUACGUAGGGUGCGAGCGUUAAUCGGAAUUACUGGGCGUAAAGCGAGCGCAGACGGUUACUUAAGCAGGAUGUGAAAUCCCCGGGCUCAACCUGGGAACUGCGUUCUGAACUGGGUGACUAGAGUGUGUCAGAGGGAGGUAGAAUUCCACGUGUAGCAGUGAAAUGCGUAGAGAUGUGGAGGAAUACCGAUGGCGAAGGCAGCCUCCUGGGAUAACACUGACGUUCAUGCUCGAAAGCGUGGGUAGCAAACAGGAUUAGAUACCCUGGUAGUCCACGCCCUAAACGAUGUCAAUUAGCUGUUGGGCAACUUGAUUGCUUAGUAGCGUAGCUAAC
This 839-nucleotide ribosomal RNA is filed under the name uncultured Neisseria sp. Its description in RNAcentral is "bacterial SSU rRNA". It matches the Rfam family "Bacterial small subunit ribosomal RNA", at positions 28 to 856 of the family's 1533-position model. The record is from RNAcentral. Lineage: Bacteria; Pseudomonadati; Pseudomonadota; Betaproteobacteria; Neisseriales; Neisseriaceae.